GUUAGAACCUACGUGGACCAUGAGACUUUCUUCUGAGGCCCUGUGAAAAACAGAAGAUUAUCUUCAUCCAGGAUAUCGUGAGCAUUCAAGUCUGGAAGAUCAUCCACCAGAUCAUCCUUCUGGACUUUUUGCUCUUUCUCCAUGAAUUGAUACUCCAUUUACCAGAAAAUCAUGUUGAAAUAAUCAAGGACAUUCUGAUGGCCCAACAAUUACAUCUGCCCAGAACACUGGAGGCAGAAAAGUCCAUUAUGUAUCUGCUGAUGAAAUAAAAACCUCCAGUGCCCAGACUCUCUGCCUGCAUAUAUACGUCGGGAACUAAUAUAGGCUUAUAUUUAACUUUUUCAUGUUAUGUUUCAUAUUAUAUAUUUAGCCCUGCCUGUCCUAGAGGGAGACCUUUACCCCAAAACUAUGACUGGCAUAUCUGGUUUAUGACAUCCUCGUUACCUGGGUAGUCAGGGCUGUGCUGCUAGAAAUGUAGCAUCCUAGGGAAAAUAGACCCUGGGCUGGAUGGUAAAUGGAUGGGCUCAAUGGCAGGCAUUCAUGGCAAGGUACAUCAAGGGAACCCAGGCAUCCAGUCAGCUGCAAAUAUAAUCUCCCAGGAUGUCUAAGACGGAUCCACUGCCAAGAACGGCAGGAAUGUCCUUCCGACAUUGUCCAGAAAUUAUGACCCUUUCUGAACAGGGAAGAUUCUUGCUGAUAUUACUUCUGAUAGUUCACAUCUUUGGGUCUUGCUUCCUGUUAGCUCGAGGUCUGCCGGGUAAGAAUGCCAGCGCUAAGGCACCUGUUCUUCCUCUGAUCACAAGAAAUGCUAGCCCUCCCUUGACAACAAAGGACAUUCCACCUCCGAUAACCACAGAAAUGGCUCCCCCUCUCAUGGCAACAGAGGUGGCUUUUACUAGGGCCGGAACGGCACAGGCUCCCCAUGACAAACUGCCCGAAACAAGAGCCGGAAUUCUGUCUGGUGCUACGCUUGGAGGUCUCAUUGGUGGGUCUCUUGUCGUGAUCUCAGUCCUUAUAGGCUUGGUUGCUUUCCAGAUGGUCGCUUCUAAAAGAACUGCAGGGCCUCGUGAAGCGAGCGCAGCCAGACUUGCUAACAGCGCUGAGCUCAAGUAAGUACCAAGCCUAAAGGAUAGAAUUUAAAUGGUCCCAUGGGAGAAACCCAACUUUUGUUCCAGAGGCAGGGGGUGUCAUACAAAAAAUUCAUCUCCAUUGUCGCGAGUCAAUUCAUGCCUAGGAUCCGAGGAUGCUAAUCUCAAACAGGGUUAGAUAGUAUUUUUAAGAAGACCGAAGAAAGUAGGA
RNAcentral lists this long non-coding RNA (1299 nucleotides) under Pogona vitticeps (central bearded dragon). Its description in RNAcentral is "lncRNA (ENSPVIG00000021648.1)". The record is from RNAcentral. Lineage: Eukaryota; Metazoa; Chordata; Lepidosauria; Squamata; Agamidae.